GGCUGGUCCGAUGGUAGUGGGUUAUCAGAACUUAUUCACAUUAGUGUCACUAAAGUUGGUAUUCAACCCCCCACUGCUAAAUUUGACUGGCUAAAA
This 96-nucleotide Y RNA is filed under the name Microcebus murinus (gray mouse lemur). RNAcentral describes it as "Y RNA (ENSMICG00000045705.1)". It matches the Rfam family "Y RNA". Rfam says of the family: Y RNAs are components of the Ro ribonucleoprotein particle (Ro RNP), in association with Ro60 and La proteins. The Y RNAs and Ro60 and La proteins are well conserved, but the function of the Ro RNP is not known. In humans the RNA component can be one of four small RNAs -- hY1, hY3, hY4 and hY5. Lineage: Eukaryota; Metazoa; Chordata; Mammalia; Primates; Cheirogaleidae. The record is from RNAcentral.